UGCAUGUACAACGUAAGGUCGGUUACAUUUAUAGAUUCUCUUUAAAAAAAUUUUUACGUAAAUUCAUCUCGCUGUGUGUCGAUUUGCGUUCACUCAAGUGAACACAUCCUUCCCUCCUUUUUUGCGUGAUUUGUUCAUCCGUCUGUGGUGCAAGGAAUGGCACGCUGUUAGACUGGCCAAGUGCUGAAUAUGACGUUGUUAGUGCAUAGAACAAACAUUCCAGUUGGCCAAUUUGCGCCAAAAAUGACUGCAUCUAGGAUGUAGUGUAUAAGCCUGAUGAAUAAUUGUGGUUGGUGGAAGCCGCCUUUCAACGCAGACUAUUCGGAUCGAUAAACUUGUUACCCGACACUAGGCAAAGUUCGACGUGGCGGACAAGAAUAUGGCAGUGUGCUUCGAGUGGGGGAGAAGGAAAAAAAAAAAAAAGAGGGAAAGUUUAAGGAAAAAAAAUAAAUCAAGUUGCCAACACUAACGUUGUCACGCUCAAAGAUUGUCCACAUCCAGACAAAAGAUGAGUUUAUGAUUUAAUUAGAAGAAGAAAGAAAAAAAAAGAAGUUCACCACGCAAUCAGUUCAUAUCUUAAAGAUUCACAAGCCUCGCCUUCCGAGUCGAUUAAACGUCACACGCCACCCUUUACGCCAGCCAACGUUAUCGACCAAGCGGGGCUCCUCCUUUGCUCUACAAACGCUCCCUUUUUCCCCCCGUUCCUGCUACACGAUUAUACUUCAUAGAUGACACAAACAGCCGUAGCUCACAGAAUUUUUAUUUUCUUUAUGUUCGUGUUUGUUUGUAACUAUUCCGAAUGUCUGCCUAACUUUUUUUCUUAUAUCUGAUUUCAUGUCCGCUUGGCGUGAUGUGACUUUCCCUACAUUUGCAUCCAGACGGAGGGGGGCCCCGCGCGCGCGUUCAGAUAACACACCCCACCCGAAAUUAUUCCGCUUAACGACAAGUAGCAAGACGAGUAAACCCUUCUACCCUCCUGGAUUGAAUGCUACUAUACACCACGUUGAUGGGCAGCAAAUAAAAAUCGGGAUGCCUCCCAAAGACGAGAGAAAUCUUUGGAUUAUGUGCCAAAUAACAAGCAGAAGAGUUAUAGGAAAAGCAAAAAACAAAAACAGGAGCUCUGAUGGAUGAGCAAGAAAUAUCGAUCAAACAUCGUUUUGGGGUGUAAAGCAGAAGCCAGCGUUUCCAUGGGCGACCAGUCAAUAACAAAAGCCUUUUGCUGACGACGAUCUGUUUACAAGCCAUCUGCACUUGGACGGAAGCCUCCGACGGGUCGGAAGAGUUUGCUCCUUGGAGGAAAUUCCGUCUGAAGAUGAGAGAUUUGAUCGUGAAAAUAAAUACAGAUGCCGUAGGAGUAGUCGGUGGUGUGACUACUGCUAAUCAACAGCUGACGACCAACAGGAACAACAGCAGCCGCUUGAACGUGGAUGAUCCAGCUGUCUCGAGUCGUGCACUAUCUUUGACAGUCGGCUCACUAGGGCAAGAUGAUGGAGACAGCACGGACGACGGAAGUGACAGCGGAACAGCAGGCACGCCAACCAGUCAAUCCGCAGGCUAUUGGCCUGAUUUGGAAGUGCUGGAUCCUGAUCACCCCAUUUUGGAGCGAUUCCAGGCCAAUUUGACGCAUUUGCUGGACGAAGAGGAUCAACAGCUGACAUUGAAAAUUCUCGAAGCGGAAGAAAAGCGCAAGUGCAUACUGAGGGAGAAGAAGAAGACAUUGGCCGGGUUGGAUGAAAUGAAAAGAUUGAACGAACGCAGCCGAUUGACGUUGCGUAAAGAGAAAGAAGCUCUCGAAACGGAAAAAGCCAAACGACUUCAGGUGGAAUGUGACCUCCUCCCUGAGAAGAAACAACGAUUUGAAUUGCUCCAGCGGGACAUGCGAGACGCCCAAUCCACUGACAAUCUCCUGGAAAAAGAAUUGGAAAUUGGACGGAAGAAAAUAGCCGCAAUCCGGCAGCGGCUGGAAGAGCAACAACAACAACUAGCUCAAGCCAGAGGACAACUCGAUCAAGGGCAUCGUGAAAGGGAUUCCAACCAAGCUCGUAAACUUCUCCAGGAUGUGGUGAUCAAUCAACUUUUGUCGGAUGUCGAAGCAGCUGAAUGGAAGCGUAGCCAAAUGGAAAACACCUUACUGGACGAGGAACAGUUGACGGCCGGAUUGCGGGACGCGAUACGUGGAGCGCAUGCUGAAAUUGCCGCAAUCAACACGGAAAAAAUCCGACUCAAUCAGAGCUGGCAGUCCAGCUUGCUGGCCUUACAAAAGAAUAACGAGGCCCUAGCGGCUGUCCACCAAUCCAUCAGGAACGAAGAAGCUCGAAGGGAGGAGAUUAAUCGAUGCUGGACGAUUGGCGAGAAAGAAACGACUCAAUUGGCUUCUAAACGGACCAAUAUUCAAUUCGAAUUAGGCCGGCUGGAACGAAAGAUAACUAAUCUAGAGACGCAGUGCCAGUUGCGAGAGGCGCAAAAAAGCUCAGACGACGAACGCAACCGUCGUCUCGAGUCCAUCAUCCGAUCUCGGGAGGAAGAGCUUCAGACGCUGAUAAGGGAGGCGGAGUUGCUGGCCAAGAGUGAGAGCGAUGCCCUGGAUCGUCUGCAGGGGCAGCGGUGCAAAAACAAGACUCUAGAGGCGGCCAUACUCGAUCAAGUCUAUCGCAGUGUGGCCUGCGAUCAGGAGGCGCAAGCCAUUUAUCGCCACAUCCGCCAAAUGGAAGAAAACUCAACUGCACUGGAUUUUGAGAUAGCCAAAGCUGAAAGUCGUAAUGGAAAGGCGUUGCUGGAGCGCGAUAAUCUGGAAAAAGAAUUGCAAGAAAAUAGGAAAGAAUUGGCAGAGAAAGAAGCUCAAGUCGCUUUAAAAGACGGGCAAAUCAAGCAACUCGAGAUGGAACUGGGCGAGCAGCAGAAAUUGUUGGAGAGGAAAGAAAUGCAUUGGGUUCGGCAAAAAGCGAUGCUCGACGAGCUUCUGGCCACCCUCGAAGAGAACCAAGCCCGCACCGAGGAGGAGAGAGUAUUGAGAGUGUUACAGGAACAGCUGGAUCAGAUCCGCCGGGCCACCGAUAGUUUCCAGCGUCAAUGGUCAGAGGCAGAGCAGCAAUUGCUCCAAGUGGCCAUGACACGAGAUCUCCAGGCCGUCGAAGAGGGGAAACUUCGCGAUGAGAUCAGCGUGCGCGAAGAAAAGAAGAAGCGGCUUCUGCGUGAAGUAGCCGGAUUGAAGCACAGCCAAUUGCAGUGUAAAAGAUCCAUCCACGGUUGGCGCGAGUACUUGCAGCAACUGGAUGCCCGACUGGCCCAGCAGACGGCCAACAAAGAGAGCCUAGAACGUCAUAAUCAGCACUUUCAACGCCAGUGGCAGAUCCACCUCGAGGAGCCAGAACGCAAGGUUCAUCGAGUUCGGGAGGAGAUUGUCCAACUUCGUUCACAAAAAUCCAACCUCGAAAUCAACUUAUGCGACCUGAAUAAAGUGAUGUUAUUGUGGACGGGCAAACUGGCAGACAUUCGCGAGGCACAGAGUUACUACCAAGCUGAACGCUCAGAUGCUGGAUCGCUGGCCCUACUCGAAGCGGAGAAGCAUCGACUUCAGGUACAAGAAGUCCAGCUGAGGAAGGAUCAGGAACUGCUUAACCAUCAACUACAGAAAGCCGUUCUCGGUCGUUCCGGGCUGAAUACCAAAGCGGAUAUCAAGACCGGAGUUGCUCAUAAGACGAGGAUCGUCAAGGAUCCAGUAGACUCAAACGCCUGGUACAAGAUCCUCUCUAAAGAAAUCACCAAGCGCCGCAAGGUUCGACAUCCAGGAGCUUGUCAAGCUGAAGCAAUCGAUCUCGGAGAGGAAAAUAGUCAACGCGGAGCUGACGGCGCAAUGCGAUUCUUUACGAGAUUCUCUCGAGAUGGACCGUAAUCGACUCGAGCAGCUCGAUCACAACAUUGCUGAAGCCGUAGUCACUAAGAGACGGGGCAUUUCGACGCUGGUAGGUCAUCAGAAAUGGUGGCGCUUCUACGACCAACUGAAAUAUGGAACAUAUCGGCGGAAGUACGGAGCUGAUGCUCUGGCCGAGGCAGAGUCUCGUGCGAGAAAAAAAAUAAUUAAACUACUGA
This 4089-nucleotide unclassified non-coding RNA is filed under the name Daphnia magna. Its description in RNAcentral is "trichohyalin, transcript variant X8". The record is from RNAcentral. Lineage: Eukaryota; Metazoa; Arthropoda; Branchiopoda; Diplostraca; Daphniidae.